RNAcentral lists this transfer RNA (88 nucleotides) under Bacillota bacterium. RNAcentral's name for it is "tRNA-Ser". It matches the Rfam family "tRNA". From Rfam's summary of the family: Transfer RNA (tRNA) molecules are approximately 80 nucleotides in length. Their secondary structure includes four short double-helical elements and three loops (D, anti-codon, and T loops). Further hydrogen bonds mediate the characteristic L-shaped molecular structure. tRNAs have two regions of fundamental functional importance: the anti-codon, which is responsible for specific mRNA codon recognition, and the 3' end, to which the tRNAs corresponding amino acid is attached (by aminoacyl-tRNA synthetases). tRNAs cope with the degeneracy of the genetic code in two manners: having more than one tRNA (with a specific anti-codon) for a particular amino acid; and 'wobble' base-pairing, i.e. permitting non-standard base-pairing at the 3rd anti-codon position. The record is from RNAcentral. Lineage: Bacteria; Bacillati; Bacillota.
GGAGAGGUGGCCGAGUGGUUUAAGGCGCACGCCUGGAGAGCGUGUGUCCCGUAAACCGGGAUCGUGGGUUCGAAUCCCACCCUCUCCG